CACGGAGGGUGCAAGCGUUAUUCGGAAUUAUUGGGCGUAAAGGGCGCGUAGGCGGCCGAACAGGUCAGGUGUGAAAGCCCCGGGGCUUAACCCCGGAGUAGCAUUUGUAAACCUUUACGGUCGUUGUAGUAUGGGAGGAGGAGAGCGGAAUUCCUGGUGUAGAGGUGAAAUUACGUAGAUAUCAGGAGGAACACCGGUGGCG
Molecule: ribosomal RNA, 202 nt
Filed under: uncultured bacterium
Lineage: Bacteria
Description: partial 16S ribosomal RNA
Rfam family: Bacterial small subunit ribosomal RNA
Source: RNAcentral